GAUGAACGCUGGCGGCGUGCCUAAUACAUGCAAGUCGAGCGAACAGAUGAGGAGCUUACUCCUCUGACGUUAGCGGCGGACGGGUGAGUAACACGUGGAUAACCUACCUAUAAGACUGGGAUAACUACGGGAAACCGGAGCUAAUACCGGAUAAUAUAUUGAACCGCAUGGUUCAAUAGUGAAAGACGGUUUUGCUGUCACUUAUAGAUGGAUCCGCGCCGCAUUAGCUAGUUGGUAAGGUAACGGCUUACCAAGGCAACGAUGCGUAGCCGACCUGAGAGGGUGAUCGGCCACACUGGAACUGAGACACGGUCCAGACUCCUACGGGAGGCAGCAGUAGGGAAUCUUCCGCAAUGGGCGAAAGCCUGACGGAGCAACGCCGCGUGAGUGAUGAAGGUCUUCGGAUCGUAAAACUCUGAUAUUAGGGAAGAACAAAUGUGUAAGUAACUAUGCACGUCUUGACGGUACCUAAUCAGAAAGCCACGGCUAACUACGUG
This 497-nucleotide ribosomal RNA is filed under the name uncultured bacterium. RNAcentral describes it as "partial 16S ribosomal RNA". It matches the Rfam family "Bacterial small subunit ribosomal RNA", at positions 28 to 507 of the family's 1533-position model. The record is from RNAcentral.